CUGACUUUGCUCCCCAAAAUCUCUAGAAGCAUCAUCUCUGCUCCACCAUCACUAAUCGAAUCAUCCUCCACUCAACCAUCACUAAUUGAAUCAUCCUCCGAUCCAAAACCCUAAUCGAUCCAAAACCCUAAUUGCUCCCAAAAGUGGCGACCGUUGGACUUUAGCAAUGAGCUAAUGAUUUCUUAGGGUUCAGUUUGUUGUGAACUAUGACCAACAUCUUGUUAUUCUUAAUCGAAGAAGUGGACUUUCAUUGGAGGACAAACUCCCUGGUGAAUCAGUUACAUUAGGCGAAGCAUUAAUGGCGCCAACUGUAAUUUAUGUUAAACAGGGUGCUUAGCAUUAUCAGCAAGGGAGGCCUCAAAGGAAUCACCCACAUAACAGGUGCUGGUUUAACAAAUAAUGUCCCUCAUGUUUUCCCUCAAGGCCUCAGGGCCCACAUGUACAACAACUCUUGGUCCGUUCUUCCUGUUUUCAAGUGGAUCCAAAAGGAUGGAAACAUUGAAGAUGCUGAAAUGAAGCGUACAUUUAAUAUGGGAAUCGGGAUGGUUUUGGUUGCUGGCGAAAAGGCUGCCCAAAGGAAAGAGGUCAAGGAUGUAAAUCACUUUAUGAGCCUUCCAAUCUGUUUAAUGGGUCAUUUUUAGGUCCCUUAUUUCAUCUUGCCCGAUUACCUCAUUAGAGAAAAAAUAAAAAAUAAAAAGAAAACAGAUACGGCCCAAUCUGACCCAUUAAUAAGGAAUGGUUAACAUGUAGCGGUAUACACAUGAAGUGGUGAUUCCGGUCAAGUUCAUAGCAAAGAGGACUUAAAGACGGAUACACAUGAAGUGGGGCACAGAGGUGGCACUAGGGCUGGUCUUUUCCGAACCCCGAUAUCAAGGGGAGUGCAGAGUGCAACCUCUUUUAACGACUGACCUAAACCCGCUGUGGCAGUCCGUAAUUUGAUGGAACAGAUUAAAAAGUUGAACUUAGUUAUAAGGAGCUCAUUAAGGAAAAGGAUGAAGAAAAAGAAAGGUUAAAUGGGAUUAUCGUGGGGUUGUUGGCUGGAAAAGAAAAAGAUAAGGUGGAGAAAGAUACUAUGCUCGAUAGGAUGUCACAAAUUGAAGCUAGGCUACAAACACUUGGUUUUAAAUGUUUCGAUGUUUAUCAUAUUAGGAUAAUUUUAGUUAUCUAAUGUUUUAGCAGGUAUUUCUAUUAGAAUGUUUUAU
Molecule: RNA transcript, 1202 nt
Organism: Helianthus annuus (common sunflower)
Lineage: Eukaryota; Viridiplantae; Streptophyta; Magnoliopsida; Asterales; Asteraceae
Gene name: phosphoribosylformylglycinamidine cyclo-ligase, chloroplastic/mitochondrial-like
Exons: 6
Source: RefSeq, a predicted model, not a curated record